RNAcentral lists this ribosomal RNA (468 nucleotides) under uncultured bacterium. RNAcentral's name for it is "partial 16S ribosomal RNA". It matches the Rfam family "Bacterial small subunit ribosomal RNA", at positions 28 to 507 of the family's 1533-position model. The record is from RNAcentral.
GACGAACGCUGGCGGCGUGCUUAACACAUGCAAGUCGAACGGAAAGGCCCUGCUUUUGUGGGGUGCUCGAGUGGCGAACGGGUGAGUAACACGUGAGUAACCUGCCCUUGACUUUGGGAUAACUUCAGGAAACUGGGGCUAAUACCGGAUAGGAGCUCCUGCUGCAUGGUGGGGGUUGGAAAGUUUCGGCGGUUGGGGAUGGACUCGCGGCUUAUCAGCUUGUUGGUGGGGUAGUGGCUUACCAAGGCUUUGACGGGUAGCCGGCCUGAGAGGGUGACCGGCCACAUUGGGACUGAGGUACGGACCAGACUCCUACGGGAGGCAGCAGUGGGGAAUAUUGCACAAUGGGCGGAAGCCUGAUGCAGCAACGCCGCGUGCGGGAUAACGGCCUUCGGGUUGUAAACCGCUUUCGCCUGUGACGAAGCGUGAGUGACGGUAAUGGGUAAAGAAGCACCGGCUAACUACGUG